GGGGUCGUGGCUCAGCGGUAGAGCACUCACCUGGCACGUGUGAGGCCCUGGGUUCGAUUCUCAGCACCCCA
RNAcentral lists this transfer RNA (71 nucleotides) under Ictidomys tridecemlineatus (thirteen-lined ground squirrel). RNAcentral's name for it is "Spermophilus tridecemlineatus (thirteen-lined ground squirrel) tRNA". It matches the Rfam family "tRNA". Rfam says of the family: Transfer RNA (tRNA) molecules are approximately 80 nucleotides in length. Their secondary structure includes four short double-helical elements and three loops (D, anti-codon, and T loops). Further hydrogen bonds mediate the characteristic L-shaped molecular structure. tRNAs have two regions of fundamental functional importance: the anti-codon, which is responsible for specific mRNA codon recognition, and the 3' end, to which the tRNAs corresponding amino acid is attached (by aminoacyl-tRNA synthetases). tRNAs cope with the degeneracy of the genetic code in two manners: having more than one tRNA (with a specific anti-codon) for a particular amino acid; and 'wobble' base-pairing, i.e. permitting non-standard base-pairing at the 3rd anti-codon position. Lineage: Eukaryota; Metazoa; Chordata; Mammalia; Rodentia; Sciuridae. The record is from Rfam by way of RNAcentral.